CGUAGGGUGCAAGCGUUAAUCGGAAUUACUGGGCGUAAAGCGUGCGCAGGCGGUGAUGUAAGACAGGUGUGAAGUCCCCGGGCUUAACCUGGGAACUGCAUUUGUGACUGCAUCGCUGGAGUGCGGCAGAGGGGGAUGGAAUUCCGCGUGUAGCAGUGAAAUGCGUAGAUAUGCGGAGGAACACCGAUGGCGAAGGCAAUCCCCUGGGCCUGCACUGACGCUCAUGCACGAAAGCGUGGGGAGCAAACAGGAUUAGAUACCCUGGUAGUCCACGCCCUAAACGAUGUCAACUGGUUGUUGGGUCUUCACUGACUCAGUAACGAAGCUAACGCGUGAAGUUGACCGCCUGGGGAUACGGCCGCAAGGUUG
Molecule: ribosomal RNA, 369 nt
Filed under: uncultured organism
Description: bacterial SSU rRNA
Rfam family: Bacterial small subunit ribosomal RNA
Source: RNAcentral